UAAACGGUCCUUUUCAGGACCACAGAAAAUUUUUCUUUGAGAGUUAU
Non-coding RNA from Aedes albopictus (Asian tiger mosquito), 47 nucleotides. The record is from Rfam. NCBI's taxonomy places the organism in Eukaryota, Metazoa, Arthropoda, Insecta, Diptera, Culicidae.